CAUCAGCUUUAAGCUUCCACUUUAAUUAAACCUGCAUUACAUUAUUCUUUAGUACCAAAGACUAAAUUCUUUAAAGACUAAUGUGUCAAUACAUCCAAGCCCAGAGUCGCCUUUUGAAUCCAUAAAACCAGCCCACGGAGGGGUCCCACCAGCAGCCCUUGGCCAAGAAAAAGGAGGCAUCCUAUUUGUACUCUGAAAGUCCUGGAGCAAAAAUCAGAAAGCAUCUGAAGAGAAUGCACCCCUUGGUUGUGCCUCCAGGCACAUCGUGAAGACACGGGCCUUUCCGUUCCUGUGUUUCCCCUUCGGAUUUGUGAUGCAGACAAACAAUGCGAAGACAACUGUCCCCAUUAAAACACACUGAUACUGCGAUGACGUUAUCAUCAGAAAAGCAAUCAGGAGAAGGCUCACGGGGGCAGGUAUUCAGAUCCUGAGGAUUUCUCCCCCCACCCCCCCAUCAUCGCAGCUUCCAGGAACUGUAUUCCAGCCACCGGCAAGCAUAAGCAAGGCAGAGGGAGGAAAGACGCCUGGUCUCUGUGCCUCUAAAUGGAGACGGAAGUGUCUGCUGUGCCGAGGGCUUCUGGAGUCUGUGCCUCGUCGUGAUUUUCUUCUGCAAAGGGAGUUUCUUUUCCUUUUGUUUUUCUUUUUGAACAAACAAGACCAGAUCAUGGGACCUCAUACGAUGGAGCCCCUUUACAGGAAUCCCAGCUGCCAAAUCGGAGUGGGACAUUGUCAGAAUGACAGGAAUCAGGCCCCGGGAGAGUCUCAGCCCCAGGGGAAGGCAGCUCAAAGGGGAAACGGCCAGCUUCCUUGAACGCUGCCAGGUGCACAGCGCAGAUACGCCCUGGGAGGGAACGAGGAAGAGGAAAAGAGAACCAUGAGGCAGGGAAACUGAUCAACUCCACUCACAGGAUCCGAACCCAACCCGAAGAGCAAGCCGAGUCUGACGAGGCUUUCAGUCUCAGGUCCAUUUUGCAAAAUGAAUGAAAUGUGUCUCAAUCGCCGGCUGCCCCCAGGCAGAGAUUCUGCAGCAGAAGAUGAGCUGCAGAGAGAGGUCCGGUCCCCUGAUCCUAGGCCAGCAGUCUCCUGGCUUUGCCUCCUGUUGACCAUGUCCAAGGAGAAGGUGGCAUCUCACAUCUGGAGAGUGAGUUUCACAGGGGUUUUACGACCAGGCCGAUCCUGUUCCAUCCUAGCCACGUGCCACGUGUUAGGCUGGCCGUGAUGCUGUUGUGCUCUUUACAGCCAGCAAUGCUGGGUCUUAGAGGUUACACUAGGCCACACAUAGUCCUUUAUUUUUUUUAUGUUUUAUAUUACUUAGGUAAUUUUAAUUCUUCAUUAAAAUUGUGUUUAUUUUGUCAUAAUUUAUUCAGCAUUGUUUCUUUUUUCUAUAUUUUUAUUAAAGUAUAGUUGAUUUACCAUGUUGUGCCAAUUUCUGCUGUACAGCAAAGUGACCCAGUCAUAUAUACACACACACACACACAUUCUCUUUCUUAUAUUAUCUUACAUUAUCUGCAGUCAUGGUCUAUCCCAAGAGACUGGAUAUAGUUCCCUGUGCACAGCAGGACCUCAUUGCUUAUCCAUCUGAACCAUUCUUGUACUCAGCUAUGGUACGGAUACGUUGACCUGUUCUUGGAACACACUAGGCUUGGUCCAGCUCCGGCCUUUUGUAUCUUCCUCUGUCUACAGCAUACUUCUCUUGGCUAUUUUUUGGAGGUUCUCAUAUUUUUUUUUUCCUCUCUCUCUCUCUUAAAAAAAAUUGUUUUUUAUAAUUAAAGUAUGAUUGGUUUACAUUGUGGUGCCAAUUUCUGCUGUACAGUAAAGUGACCCAGUCAUACAUAUACAUACGUUCUCCUCACAUCAUCCCCCCUCAUGGUUUAUCCCAAGAGACUGGAUGUAACUCCCUGUGCUGGUCCCAAUGUGUUCUCAUUGCCCAUCCAUUCCAAAUGUAACAAUUUGCAUCUACUACCCCCAAACUCCCAGUCCAACCCACUCCCUUCAUUUUCAUAGCACGGAAGCCUCCAAUCCAGGUCUUCUACCCCCCCCACCCCAACUGCACGACCCCUGGCCCCAUGCCACAGGGACAUAUAGCAAUAGGUCCCUUCAGACCUUAUUAUAUUGUCAGGACCUACAAAGCCAGAGGGCUUGUUUAGGUUCCAUUAAGGAAAGCAAAUGACAAGGGUGCCCUUAUAGUUUUGGCAUUACGGUCAACAACCAUCAGAACUAAUCAAAUCUUUAAACUAAAUUAAAUCUUUAAGCAUUAGAAUAAAGCUCUUUGCCCCCUUUUCAACUUAAUGGUGAUAAAAUACAAAAUCAACAUGGAUUAAGCUAAAUACCAUGUUAGCAUUAACUUGUAAAUAACCAUUGGCUUUUUGUCUUACCUUUCUAACCAAUGGGUAAUGAUAGUUCAGUGUUUUGCAGUCACAAAAAUACUUGGUCAUCAACUUCUCUUUUCCUUCAUGAAGGAAAACAAAACAAAACCAUCUUGGAGCCAUGUUUCAAAAAUCAAAGCUAGACUAAUAUACCUAGGAGCUAUCAUAACUGGAUUUCUACCCUGACGCAUUGGGGUUUAUCCUAAGUAUACAAGGAUGGUUCAAUAUCAGAAAGUCUAUUGGUGUCAUUCACCACAUUAUCAGAUUUAAGGAAGAAAAAGUCAUGAGAUUAGCUCAAUGGAUGUAGAAGCAAAUUAGGUAAAGUUCAAGAUUCCUUUAAUAUUAAGGGGGAAAAAAAAAACUUCACAGCAGUAUACAAGAAUUUCCUUAACUACAUAAAUAAUACUUAUCCAAACAUGCAGCAAACAUCAGCAUUAUACUAAAUAGUGCAAACAGAGCUCUUUCCCACUGAUGUGGGUGAGACGGCAGGAGUCUCCAUAGCCAUCCCUGCUACCCGUCCUAGUGGAGGGAUGGAAAGUGGUGACCCCAGAACCAAAGGAUCGGGGCUCCACACGUGGCUCUGUGCUUCCUAGUUGUGCCAUCUUGGGCACGUUUAAAUUCUCUCUACCUCAACUGCCUACUGACAAAGACGCUCCUUGACCAAACCUUAGUCAGGCUCCCACGAGCCCUCUUCUGCAUUCAGCCUCAUCCUUGGCACGCUCCUGGGACCACCUAGUCCAAGAGUAGCAAGAAUUCUGCUAAGGCACUUGGGGGAGUUCCCCAUCCUUCAUAUCUGAUCACUCUCUCUCUCUCUAUCCCCCACCUUUGACUGGCCUUCAGCGAGAAUCCUGUUAAGUCAGGUCAGCAGGAAUCCUCUGACCCUUGGUGUGUCCUCCUAGUAAUUGUCCAUCCACAGACUCCUCUUCAUUCCGCUCCUGGCUAUGAAUCCCUGCUUGUUCUUGUUACAUUUGGAAUUGAUUCCGAUUUCUCCCAACUGUUGUGAUGGUCUUGACACCUACUGCAAUAGUCCCAAAUUAACCAUUUUAACAAGUGUCAGAAUAAUUUUUUUUCUAACACUACCAAUAAAACAGGAACAAUAAUAUUACUUACCUCAUAGACCUGUCAUGAGGAUAAAAGGAGUUAAUACAUACAAAGUGCUAGAAGAGUAACACCUAAAAAACCCUCUAUAUGCUUGAAUGAUUAUUAUUAAUACAAAGAUGUAUUUUUUAACUAUGCAUACAUUUUUGAAAAGAAAUGUAAUGAGUGGAAAGCAGUAGGCAAGAUGUUAGGAAAAAAUCCCAGAAAAUCUGAAAUAUAUCAUUUGCUAUGAGGCUGUUGGAAUACAAAACCACUUUUAAAAUCAGUACUAGUGGAGCUCCCACAGUGGCACAGUGGGUGAAGUAUCUGACUGUGUGGCUUGGGUUGCUGCAGAGGCGUGGGUUUGAUACCUGGCCCAACGCAGUGUGUUAAAGAUCCAGCAUUGCUGCAGUGCAUGUUGCAUUUGUGGCUCAAAUUCAACCCCUGGCCCAGGGAUCUUCCAUAUGCCAUGGGUGUGGCCAUAAAAAAAAAAAAAAAACCUAAUACUAGCAAAAAAAAAUUAUGCUAUCUUAUCUUCUUUAGAAACAACAAAAUGCGAGGCGCCUAAAAAUAAUCUGACAAAAUGUCUAUAACAUAUUAGGAACAUUAUAAAGCAUUAUUCAGACAUUAUGGUCCCAGCAAGGAAAGAGAGGGGUCUGGGGAUUGGAGGAGAGCAAAGAUAUAUUGUUAAAAGUGUCACUUGGCAGAGAAGUGUAUUCCAGCACCGACCAGGUGGCAUAGCAAGUACUCACCAAGUUUCUACUUAUUCACCUUCCCUCAGCUCCAAUCUUCCACCGAGUGUGUCCUUGGUGAAUCCAUCUCAAAAUGGAAGUAUCAAGGGACUUCCCGUCGAGGCUCGGCGGUUAACGAACCCGACCAUAUCCACGAGGACUUGGGUUCAAUCCCUGGCCUUGCUCAGUGGGUUAAGGAUCCGCGUUGCCAUGAGCUGUGGUGUAGGUCGCAGACGCAGCUCGGAUCCUGCGUUGCUGUGGUGUAGGUCAGGAGCUGGAGCUCUGAUUCAGUCCCUAACCUGGGAACCUCCAUAUGCCAUGGGUGUGGCCUUAAAAAGACAAAAAAAAAAGAAAGAAAGAAAGUAUCAAGAAUCCAAAGCAGAGGGGAAUAAGGAAAAGAUGGGUUUUCUUUUAUAUUCCCUCGGGGGGGGGAAUACUAAUUAUCCUCAGUGUCUUACCUUGUACUUUGGUGAAAAAGAAGAGAACCCCAAAGGCAAAAGCCAUAUCUAGAACUUUGAAAGCAGACAGGACAGUCCCAAGGAAUUUAACAAGCACAAUAACUCCAGGUUCUUUGUGGAAAAUCUUGAAACGUGGAAACAUACUUUCAGUCAUCAGCUUUUAGAAAUCAACAUGAAGAUUUAUCAUCAGUUAUAUAAAAUCUGCUAUUACUUCUUAGCCUUUAGAAAUGUUAUUUAAUUUAAAUGUUGAACAAUGACCCCAUUUUCAUACGUCUUCCUCACUAACCAUAUGUUUCUGCAGGAGAAGGCGGUUUUCACUGCCUCCUUCAUUUAAUGAAUUAUUUUAUAACCAUGAAAAUGUGAUUAUUUAUAUUUAACCAAAACACACUACAAAACUUAACUUCCUCCUGAAAGCUUCGCAUCAUUGAUGACAGAUUAGAAAAAAGCGUUCGGCAACUUAAUCUGAUUUACCAUCAUAAAUAUUCAAAUCUUACAUAUUUGUUCCUCAAAACAGUUAAGCGGCUUUAUUUAUUUUCAAUUUUAUUGUCUCAACUGUAUAAUGCAAAUCAUUUGUUGACAUUGUUUACUAGGGUGCAUCCAUCCAAUAAAAAGGUCUCAGUCUCUUUCUCGCUGUCUGUCUCUCUCUCAUGAAAUUAAUUAAAAGGAACAUGAUGGAGCUUCAGAAUUCUAUAGUCUGUCCUGCCAAAAUCAGAGUGGAUAUUUACAUCACAUUAGCUAAACAAGUUCUGUGCAUAUGCAAAAUGAGUGGUUAAUGACAUUUCACCAUUAUCAACAAUCUUUCUUUAAAAAUGUACCUCUAGGAGUUCCAUUUCCAGUAACAUGGCAGGUUAUGGGCACAGACGAAACCCUGAAAACAGCUACAAAUUAUGAAUAAUUUUUUUAAUUCUUAAAAACCUCUUUACGACAUCAUAAGGAAUUACCAGCCCCAAAGCUAAGGGAAAGUCGAAAACAGGAGAAGCGAGAAUGGUAGUGAAAUCAUUUUUGCCUUAAGAGCAGAUUUGAUGAACUUUUAUUUUCAUGGUCUUAAUGAAAAACCCCGGUCCCAUGACACAGACCUGGGCUCCAGACGACUCCUGCCCUACCAUGAGGGGUAAGAAAAGCAACCUCACACUCACGCCCACAGGAAAUGCGCUGGUGCCGAGAAGACCAGGCUGAGAGCUGAGACGCCUUUGGAAAUUUGUAACAAAAAAUAAGCUUUCUACCCAAAUUAACAUUAACGAAAACAAAACUCAUGCAUUAAAGGGUUUUGGACUUUCCAGAUGCUACCUACCACUAAAGCCAAUAAAACUGGAAUAGUUAUGUUAACAUCAGGGGGGAAAAGUAGGUUUUCAAGCAAAAACAUCAUUAGGGAUAAAGAGGGUUAUAGCAAAAUAAUAUAAGAAAAUUCACUGGGGAAAUUUUUUCUCCUAAUUUUUGUUUUGUUUUGUUUUUUCUUUUGUUUCGUCUUUAGGAGGGAAGCUACUGUUACUCUUACACAUGAUCUCUUUCCCCAAAACCUUAUGAUUCCAUGACGUCUUCCAAACUCUGAAACAAGCCUAGGCUCUAGAACUUGAAAGCCAGUCUGUAUUCCCUAGAAACAUUGUCUGAGAAGCAAAACUGCACCGAGAAGAUUUACUGGGGAGUGUUCUUUGAAGACACAUCUCUAAGGAAGAGUGGAGAGUCGAACUCUUCCUUAGCAAGGAUGCCUCUGAGCCCCUACCUCCAGGGAGCUCUGGAACUGGAGACGUGAAUGUCAGAGCUUUGUGCCCCCAUCUCAGGAGGUCAUUGAACAUGGGCUGUCCUGAGUGUUCCUGGUCUUCACUGCCGGCAGAUUCCACAUCCAGUAGCACUUAGAUCACCUUGGUAAAUGAAGUCCUAUCAAUGGGCUCACAGGUAGCUGGCAUCUCUGCAACCAUGCCAACGGUUUUACCUGCACUGGGGAGUGGAGACAGGGGCAGCUGAAGACAGGCUGGCUAGUGUCAACUGACGGAGUCAUUCUGUCUGGUUCUUUCCCACCUCUUCCGUGGACCACAGUGAAUGCGCCCUGCUGGGUACCGCCAUGCGACACGGAGAUCUUUACACUCUGCUCGCUCCUAGAACUCCAUCCAUAGGCCUCUUCCCCAGACCUCCUUGUCUCCCACCUACCAGGCUUUCUCUUUCCAGAACAUUCGCCGCUGUCCCUGAGUUUGGCCAUACGUGUCACGUGGCUUCUAAUCGUAUCUCAGGCCAUUUCCUUUCCCUGAAAAGUGGGUGGCCAGAUGACCUACCCAGAUGUGUGUCCCCUGGGGGAUCUCCCCUCCCUGCUGUCUCCCAAGGCCGUCCCUGAGUGAUGCCAUCCUGCCCCCACAGAGGACCAUCAGUGAGAGCAAAGGGAGAAAGACCCGAAUGACAGCAGGGGCUCAUGCCCGGUCCAGCCAACUGCUCCUGCAUCUUUCUCAUUCCUGACCCCACUCAUGCCAGCUCCCAAGUCCUGGUACCUCACUUCCCCUUAUGAUGAGUCCACCCAACCUUCUAAGCUGGUGGGUCUGACAGAACCUGGCAUGGUCAUGUGGUCACUUGCCAUCCCAUGAAGAGCUGGUCUCUACCAGGGCUGAGACGCUGGCCAGGAGCCACUUCCCAGUGACUAUACUUCUCUGCUGCUGCUGCUGGCGUGGCCUUUCCACAGAAUGCCAUGUGACGCUCCUGGGGCCGGCCGUGUGGUGUCUUCCCUGUCAUACAUUCUCUAGAGACCUGCCUUGCCACACCUCACUACCAAACAGCAGGGUCUCUUGUACUUCCACCCUCCCUGCUAGACUGCUUUCCUCUCUGGGUCCCACUCAAAGAGGUCACCUUCCACGUCACCCAGAAAGUGGGUUGGCAGGAUUCCCGGGGAAGAACAUUCCAAGAUGCCUGCUAAGCAUUGUGUUUCUUCUUAGUGAUUGGAGGUAUGAGAUGCAGUCAGUCCACUUUGGCUUUGGAGGGGCUCUCCCAGCAAGCCCAAAUCCUUGGAUCCCUAAAAAUGUCACCCAUGUGGCAGGUCUCCGAGUCUUUGUGGGGCUUACCUCGCAGCCUUGAAUGUGCCUGUGUCUUACCAAGGCCUUCAGUCUACCAUGGACCAAGAAUGUCACCUGCCAUAUCAGCAAACAAAGGACGAAGCAGCCACCCAAUGAGCAGCCACUGCAGCCGCCCCCAGCUGUGUUCUGUGAGGAGAUUCAGUUUGGAGAAAAGCAAUCCCUAAUUACCUGGCCCUACCUAGUUGAAGUGCACGUCAAAGGAAUGACUUCAGUGAGCCCAGACUCUUGCAUCUUCCCAUACAGAGAAAAAAUACUAAAUUCAUUAAUUAGCCAGGUCUGGUUUCCUUGAAUUAACAGUAGUAUUUGAUGUUCCCACUACCAGAUUUUUGUUGCAAACCCCCCUAUAUAUCUUGGCUCCUCCCUUACCUUUUUGGAGCUGCCCCUCGGAGCUCUCUGAGAUGCCGAGGCCCCAGCUUGAGUCCUCAUAAAGACCACCAAUUAAAACAUAAUUCUCAACUUUUAGGUUGUGCCUUUUUAUUUUUUUCAGUUGACAC
This 8179-nucleotide long non-coding RNA is filed under the name Sus scrofa (pig). RNAcentral's name for it is "lncRNA (ENSSSCG00035011189.1)". Lineage: Eukaryota; Metazoa; Chordata; Mammalia; Artiodactyla; Suidae. The record is from RNAcentral.